This 694-nucleotide ribosomal RNA is filed under the name uncultured Staphylococcus sp. RNAcentral describes it as "bacterial SSU rRNA". It matches the Rfam family "Bacterial small subunit ribosomal RNA", at positions 60 to 736 of the family's 1533-position model. The record is from RNAcentral. Lineage: Bacteria; Bacillati; Bacillota; Bacilli; Caryophanales; Staphylococcaceae.
AGUCGAGCGAACAGACGAGGAGCUUGCUCCUCUGACGUUAGCGGCGGACGGGUGAGUAACACGUGGAUAACCUACCUAUAAGACUGGGAUAACUUCGGGAAACCGGAGCUAAUACCGGAUAACAUGUUGAACCGCAUGGUUCAACAGUGAAAGACGGUCUUGCUGUCACUUAUAGAUGGAUCCGCGCCGCAUUAGCUAGUUGGUAAGGUAACGGCUUACCAAGGCAACGAUGCGUAGCCGACCUGAGAGGGUGAUCGGCCACACUGGAACUGAGACACGGUCCAGACUCCUACGGGAGGCAGCAGUAGGGAAUCUUCCGCAAUGGGCGAAAGCCUGACGGAGCAACGCCGCGUGAGUGAAGAAGGUCUUCGGAUCGUAAAACUCUGUUAUUAGGGAAGAACAAAUGUGUAAGUAACUAUGCACGUCUUGACGGUACCUAAUCAGAAAGCCACGGCUAACUACGUGCCAGCAGCCGCGGUAAUACGUAGGUGGCAAGCGUUAUCCGGAAUUAUUGGGCGUAAAGCGCGCGUAGGCGGUUUUUUAAGUCUGAUGUGAAAGCCCACGGCUCAACCGUGGAGGGUCAUUGGAAACUGGAAAACUUGAGUGCAGAAGAGGAAAGUGGAAUUCCAUGUGUAGCGGUGAAAUGCGCAGAGAUAUGGAGGAACACCAGUGGCGAAGGCGACUUUCUGGUCUG